UAGACUGGUUCCAGGAAAGGCUGUCUCCAGUCCUUCAUUCAAACAUAACAGAGGGAGCUGCAAACCAGAGGCCUCAGCAGCAAACCUCACUUCAAACUGAGGGUUCAAAUUGGAGUUUGGCCGAUGAAUGAGGGAAAACGGGACCCAGCAAAGUGACUGACUGUAAUUGUAGACCUAUCCAAAUCAGAAAGCAUCACUGUGCCUUGCAAGGCAGCCUGCAAUCGUUUCUUUCCCCAUAUCUAGAGACACAGGUGACUACAGGUAACAAAGCUAGCAGGACAGACUUCUGGGCCUAUCAGUAUCAUUUGACAGCUCUGACAUUUACGCCUCCAGAAAUGAUGACUGGCGAUGGCCAAAGAAGCAUCGCAUUUCUGCAAUUACUCCAAGAACGACCAAAAAUGAAUUUUAAGAAGCCCUGGUCAUAUGUAAAGAGAAAAAUCUGUGAACAUCUGUAUAAUUUCCUCAGAGACAGAUAAACAGGAAGUUAUGUUAAUUAUGCUAACUGGAAUACAGAAACUAAUUGGGUUAAUAUUCUAACCCAAUUUCGGGGCUUUUAAUUCACUGUAAUUGCUUAAUUGUUGUUUUAAAAUGUUUUUAAAUUGUUAA
Molecule: long non-coding RNA, 606 nt
Organism: Hemicordylus capensis (graceful crag lizard)
Lineage: Eukaryota; Metazoa; Chordata; Lepidosauria; Squamata; Cordylidae
Exons: 2
Source: RefSeq, a predicted model, not a curated record